This 259-nucleotide RNase P RNA is filed under the name Thermoprotei archaeon. Its description in RNAcentral is "RNase P RNA component". It matches the Rfam family "Archaeal RNase P". From Rfam's summary of the family: Ribonuclease P (RNase P) is a ubiquitous endoribonuclease, found in archaea, bacteria and eukarya as well as chloroplasts and mitochondria. Its best characterised activity is the generation of mature 5'-ends of tRNAs by cleaving the 5'-leader elements of precursor-tRNAs. Lineage: Archaea; Thermoproteati; Thermoproteota; Thermoprotei. The record is from RNAcentral.
GUGUGCCUGGGUAGGGACUUCCGGUGCCUUAGGGGCACUGAGGAAGCCCGUCCACCAUCAAAACCCCACCCCAGUAAUGGGGAACCCGAAAAGGGUUGGGAUGGAGCAGAAACGACACCUCCACUAAAUAGAUGUUCAUGAUCUCGAAAGAGUGAAGAAUUUUAGUGGAGGUUGAAACGCUCCUAACCUGGGGGGUGCAAGCCUUAGGCGCUUAGUCGAAUGUCCCUAAGACAGAAGACGGGCUAUUACCCAGGCACAC